CCCUUAGAUGUUCUGGGCCGCACACGCGCUACACUGAAGGAGGCAGCGUGUACUCCUGGAUCGAAAGAUUUGGGUAACCCGCGUAUCUCCUUCGUGCUAGGGAUUGAGGUUUGCAAUUAUCCUUCAUGAACGAGGAAUUCCCAGUAAGUGCAAGUCAUAAGCUUGCGCUGACUACGUCCCUGCCCUUUGUACACACCGCCCGUCGCUACUACCGAUUGAAUGAUUUAGUGAGGACUUCGGACUGGGACCGAUGCGGCUUUCGGGCUGCGUCGGUAUUCUGGAAAGAUGUCCAAACUGUAUCAUUUAGAGGAAGUAAAAGUCGUAACA
This 327-nucleotide ribosomal RNA is filed under the name uncultured eukaryote. RNAcentral describes it as "partial 18S ribosomal RNA". It matches the Rfam family "Eukaryotic small subunit ribosomal RNA", at positions 1470 to 1796 of the family's 1831-position model. The record is from RNAcentral.